CUUGGUUGCUUGUCUUUCAUUUCUUACCAUUUGAAAGUUCAUAUACUCUCCACUAUCUCUCAUGUUCAUACCUACAUCCUCCUUUCUUGUCAUCUUUUAUCUCUUUCUCCGUUUCUUUUCAUCCCUCCAACUUGGCACCCUUUCAGUUAUUUCAUUUUUCUCUGAAAUUUCCUCAUGCAGUGAAACGAUAGCUCCUCAAUUUUAGAUCAAUGACCCCCCCAGCCCACUUCUGCACCCUUCAGUCAAUGUUGAAAUUUCGUUUCAUUUUCAUUUGAUCCCUAUUGUGACACAAUACAACUAGCGCUCAACGACACAGAUCAUUUGCCAGGAGUUCGUUAGUACCGAUUUAGCCGUCGUUGCGUGAUGGUCGAUAUUUAUUGUGCAGAGUGAAUGAUUACCCAGUAGCAGGAUUUGUGUGUAUUCCUAAAAUACUGGAUAUUUACUUUUGAGAUAAUACCCAAGUUGACUUCUGCUGACGAUUAGGAGAUUCUGUAUCGAAGCUAUACAGCCAUGAUCCAGAGGCACAACGGGUAAAAUCUAUCGGACAUGAGGAUAGUUUUGAUAUCCAACGAUCCAUCAGUCACUAGUAAAAACUAUCACAUUGGAGGUCACCUAUGAGGACUAUACGUCUUUAGGCAUCAUCGAUACGGAAUU
Molecule: long non-coding RNA, 654 nt
Organism: Lytechinus variegatus (green sea urchin)
Lineage: Eukaryota; Metazoa; Echinodermata; Echinoidea; Temnopleuroida; Toxopneustidae
Exons: 2
Source: RefSeq, a predicted model, not a curated record